UGAGGAACAUGACCUUCGGCGGGGGAUAGCCGGCCCAACGGCCGGGUAAUACCGCGUACGACCUUUCGGGGACAUCCCUGGAUGGUGAAAGCAGCAAUGCGCCGAUGGAGUGCCUCGCGGCCUAUCAGCUAGUUGGUGAGGUAACGGCUCACCAAGGCGACGACGGGUAGCUGGUCUGAGAGGAUGGCCAGCCACAUUGGGACUGCGACACGGCCCAGACUCCGUACGGGAGCAG
This 235-nucleotide ribosomal RNA is filed under the name uncultured bacterium. RNAcentral's name for it is "partial 16S ribosomal RNA". It matches the Rfam family "Bacterial small subunit ribosomal RNA", at positions 118 to 347 of the family's 1533-position model. The record is from RNAcentral.